UACGGGGGGGGCAAGCGUUGUUCGGAAUUACUGGGCGUAAAGGGCUCGUAGGCGGCCAACUAAGUCAGACGUGAAAUCCCUCGGCUUAACCGGGGAACUGCGUCUGAUACUGGAUGGCUUGAAUCCGGGAGAGGGAUGCGGAAUUCCAGGUGUAGCGGUGAAAUGCGUAGAUAUCAGGAGGAGCACCAAUGGCGAAGGCAGCUCGCUGGGACGUGACUGACGCUGAGACGCGAAAGCGUGGGGAGCAAACAGG
RNAcentral lists this ribosomal RNA (253 nucleotides) under uncultured bacterium. Its description in RNAcentral is "partial 16S ribosomal RNA". It matches the Rfam family "Bacterial small subunit ribosomal RNA", at positions 524 to 776 of the family's 1533-position model. The record is from RNAcentral.